Molecule: ribosomal RNA, 744 nt
Filed under: uncultured bacterium
Lineage: Bacteria
Description: bacterial SSU rRNA
Rfam family: Bacterial small subunit ribosomal RNA
Source: RNAcentral
AGAGUUUGAUCAUGGCUCAGAACGAACGCUGGCGGCAGGCCUCAAACAUGCAAGUCUAGGGGGUGCAGCAAUGCAUCACCGGCGGACGGGUGCGUAACGCGUGGGAAUAUACCUAUUGGUUCGGAACAACUGCGGGAAACUGCAGCUAAUACCGAAUGUGCCCGCAAGGGGAAAGAUUUAUCGCCAAUGGAUUAGCCCGCGUAGGAUUAGCUAGUUGGUGGGGUAAUGGCCCACCAAGGCUCCGAUCCUUAGCUGUUCUGAGAGGAAGAUCAGCCACACUGGGACUGAGACACGGCCCAGACUCCUACGGGAGGCAGCAGUUGGGAAUCUUGGACAAUGGGGGAAACCCUGAUCCAGCCAUGCCGCGUGAGUGAUGAAGGCCUUCGGGUUGUAAAACUCUUUCGACGGGGACGAUAAUGACGGUACCCGUAGAAGAAGCUCCGGCUAACUUCGUGCCAGCAGCCGCGGUAAUACGAAGGGGGCUAGCGUUGUUCGGAAUUACUGGGCGUAAAGCGCGCGCAGGCGGCUAUCCAAGUCAGUGGUGAAAGCCCGGAGCUCAACUCCGGAACUGCCAUUGAAACUGUUUAGCUUGAGGACGAGAGAGGUGAGUGGAAUUCCCAGUGUAGAGGUGAAAUUCGUAGAUAUUGGGAAGAACACCGGUGGCGAAGGCGGCUCACUGGCUCGUUUCUGACGCUCAGGCGCGAUAGCGUGGGGAUCAAACAGGAUUAGAUACCCCGGUAGUCC